RNAcentral lists this ribosomal RNA (316 nucleotides) under uncultured bacterium. RNAcentral's name for it is "bacterial SSU rRNA". It matches the Rfam family "Bacterial small subunit ribosomal RNA", at positions 8 to 352 of the family's 1533-position model. The record is from RNAcentral.
AGAGUUUGAUCCUGGCUCAGAACGAACGCUGGCGGCAGGCCUAACACAUGCAAGUCGGACGGACCUUCGGGUCAGUGGCGAACGGGUGAGUAACGCGUGGGAAUCUGUCCUUGUGUGGGGGACAACCACUGGAAACGGUGGCUAAUACCGCAUACGCCCUGAGGGGGAAAGGCUACGGCCGCACGAGGAGGAGCCCGCGUCCGAUUAGGUAGUUGGUGUGGUAACGGCGCACCAAGCCGACGAUCGGUAGCUGGUCUGAGAGGACGAUCAGCCACACUGGGACUGAGACAAGGCCCAGACACCUACGGGUGGCUGC